AGUGAACGCUGGCGGUAGGCCUAACACAUGCAAGUCGAACGGCAGCACAGUAAGAGCUUGCUCUUACGGGUGGCGAGUGGCGGACGGGUGAGGAAUACAUCGGAAUCUUCUCUUUCGUGGGGGAUAACGUAGGGAAACUUACGCUAAUACCGCAUACGACCUACGAGUGAAAGCAGGGGAUCUUCGGACCUUGCGCGAUUGAAUGAGCCGAUGUCGGAUUAGCUAGUUGGCGGGGUAAAGGCCCACCAAGGCGACGAUCCGUAGCUGGUCCGAGAGGAUGGUCGGCCACACGGGAGGUGAGCCAGGCUCCAGACUCCUGCGGGAGGCAGCAGUCGGGAAUAUUGGGCAAGGGGGGCGAGCCUGAUACAGCCAUACGGCGUAGGUGAAGAAGGCCUUCGGGGUGUGAAGCCCUUUUGUUGGGAGAGAAAAGCGGCAGGUUGAUACGCCGCUGGACUGACGGUACCCGAAGAAUAAGCACCGGCUAACUUCGUG
RNAcentral lists this ribosomal RNA (492 nucleotides) under uncultured bacterium. Its description in RNAcentral is "partial 16S ribosomal RNA". It matches the Rfam family "Bacterial small subunit ribosomal RNA", at positions 30 to 507 of the family's 1533-position model. The record is from RNAcentral.